UGGGGUGUAGCCAAGUGGUAAGGCAGCGGACUUUGACUCCGUUAUUCGCAGGUUCGAAUCCUUCCACCCCAG
Molecule: transfer RNA, 72 nt
Filed under: Hildenbrandia rubra
Lineage: Eukaryota; Rhodophyta; Florideophyceae; Hildenbrandiales; Hildenbrandiaceae
Description: tRNA-Gln
Rfam family: tRNA
About the family: Transfer RNA (tRNA) molecules are approximately 80 nucleotides in length.
Source: RNAcentral